CCUCGGCUAGAUUGAGAAAAUUAGCUCAUGUUCGAUGCGAAAACCCACAAGAAAUUGUAAAGAGAGCCGCGGCCGUUGUCCCUUGAAAUUGGGGAAAUUCAAUUCAGUUCCAAUGUUUGAAAAGAUAGCAAAGCUACAGCAAUUGAUUCUAUGGUUUCUACUUGUCCAAUCAUACGAGAAGGAAAAGGAAAAGCUACUUGAGCCCACAAGGAAAAGUCAAAAGACUAAGCUAAAAAGUUGUCUGCCAUUGUUUGCUCUAUUCCUAUCUAAUGUCCUCAAGGCUGUGC
RNAcentral lists this long non-coding RNA (287 nucleotides) under Coffea arabica (coffee). RNAcentral describes it as "long non-coding RNA (CARA_LNC001014)". The record is from RNAcentral. Lineage: Eukaryota; Viridiplantae; Streptophyta; Magnoliopsida; Gentianales; Rubiaceae.